This 956-nucleotide ribosomal RNA is filed under the name uncultured bacterium. Its description in RNAcentral is "bacterial SSU rRNA". It matches the Rfam family "Bacterial small subunit ribosomal RNA", at positions 79 to 1038 of the family's 1533-position model. The record is from RNAcentral.
UCAUGUCGUGACUCUAGCGGCGGACGGGUGAGUAACACGUGGGUAACCUGCCCUCGAGUCCGGGAUACCUCCUCGAAAGGGGGGCUAAUACUGGAUACGUUCCCCGGGUCACACGGCCUGGGGAGGAAAGGUAGCUCGCAAGGGCUGCCGCUCGUGGAGGGGCUCGCGGCCUAUCAGCUAGUUGGUAGGGUAACGGCCUACCAAGGCGAUGACGGGUAGCUGGUCUGAGAGGACGACCAGCCACACGGGAACUGAGACACGGUCCCCACUCCUACGGGAGGCAGCAGCAGGGAAUCUUGCGCAAUGGGCGAAAGCCUGACGCAGCGACACCGCGUGGAGGAAGAAGGCCUUCGGGUUGUAAACUCCUUUUCUCGGGGAAGAAUAAUGACGGUACUCGAGGAAUAAGGUUCGGCUAACUACGUGCCAGCAGCCGCGGUAAUACGUAGGAACCAAGCGUUGUCCGGAUUUACUGGGCGUAAAGCGCGUGUAGGUGGCUGGUUAAGUCUCAUGUGAAAUCUCCCGGCUCAACUGGGAGGGGUCAUGGGAAACUGGCCGGCUCGAGGGGAGUAGAGGGAAGCGGAAUUCCUGGAGUAGUGGUGAAAUACGUAGAUACCAGGAGGAACACCUGUGGCGAAAGCGGCUUCCUAGGCUUCUCCUGACACUGAGACGCGAAAGCGUGGGGAGCGAACCGGAUUAGAUACCCGGGUAGUCCACGCCCUAAACUAUGGAUACUGGGUAUAGGGGGUAUCGACCCCUCCUGUGCCGAAGCUAACACGUUAAGUAUCCCGCCUGGGGAGUACGGCCGCAAGGCUAAAACUCAAAGGAAUUGACGGGGGCCCGCACAAGCAGCGGAGCGUGUGGUUUAAUUCGAUGCUAAGCGAAGAACCUUACCAGGACUUGAACUGUACCUGUAAGCCGGAGAAAUCCGGCCCUCCCUUCGGGGACGGGUACAGAGG